This 1044-nucleotide small RNA is filed under the name uncultured Pelagibacterales bacterium. RNAcentral describes it as "bacterial SSU rRNA". The stretch from base 1 to 658 matches the Rfam family "Bacterial small subunit ribosomal RNA", at positions 867 to 1533 of the family's 1533-position model. The record is from RNAcentral. Lineage: Bacteria; Pseudomonadati; Pseudomonadota; Alphaproteobacteria; Candidatus Pelagibacterales.
CACCGCCUGGGGAGUACGACCGCAAGGUUAAAACUCAAAUGAAUUGACGGGGACCCGCACAAGUAGUGGAGCAUGUGGUUUAAUUCGAAGAUACGCGCAGAACCUUACCAACACUUGACAUGUUCGUCGCGACUUUAAGAGAUUAAAGUUUUCGGUUCGGCCGGACGAAACACAGGUGCUGCAUGGCUGUCGUCAGCUCGUGUCGUGAGAUGUUGGGUUAAGUCCCGCAACGAGCGCAACCCUCACUUUUAGUUGCCAUCAUUAAGUUGGGCACUCUGAAAGAACUGCCAGUGAUAAGCUGGAGGAAGGUGGGGAUGACGUCAAGUCCUCAUGGCCCUUACGUGUUGGGCUACACACGUGCUACAAUGGUAUCUACAACAGGAAGCAAGACGGCGACGUCAAGCAAAUCCUUAAAAGAUACCUCAGUUCGGAUUGCACUCUGCAACUCGAGUGCAUGAAGCUGGAAUUACUAGUAAUCGUGGAUCAGCGUGCCACGGUGAAUGCGUUCCCGGGUCUUGUACACACCGCCCGUCACACCAUGGGAGUUGGUUCUACCUUAAGGCAAGGUUUAAAACCCUUGACCACGGUAUAGUCAGCGACUGGGGUGAAGUCGUAACAAGGUAGCCGUAGGGGAACCUGCGGCUGGAUUACCUCCUUUCUAAGGAUGAAUAAAAGUAAAAUUUUAUUCUAAAUAAUAUACAGGCAAUGUUGACCGUCCUCAUUUCUCUUCUUAAAACAGUGUUUCUCUUGCAUGGGGGCCGGUAGCUCAGUUGGUUAGAGCACACCCUUGAUAAGGGUGGGGUCGAAAGUUCGAGUCUUUCUCGGCCCACCAAUUGAAAGAUUAAGGGGGAUUAGCUCAGCUGGGAGAGCGCCUGAUUUGCAUUCAGGAGGUCAGCGGUUCGAUCCCGCUAUCCUCCACCAAAACACUUAGUUAUAAAAAAUUGUGAAAAAUAAUAAUUAAUAUCAAUAUCUAUAUCCGAACAUUAGUAAUGUUAUUAGCGAAUGUUCAAUUAAAAAUUUGAUUCAACACAGAAUUUUUUUCUG